Molecule: ribosomal RNA, 176 nt
Filed under: uncultured eukaryote
Lineage: Eukaryota
Description: partial 18S ribosomal RNA
Source: RNAcentral
UCGUAUAGUGAUAAGUCUCGUUAAUUCAGUAAAACGAGCGCGAUCUCAAUCUUAUAGUUUGAAUUGUCUGGCUUCGGCUGGAAUAAUUCAGACCAUUUCUCCUCAGGGGAAAGGAAUUAAGAGACCGUCGGUGCAAGGUAUAAACCUGUAACCGAAGGAAGGGUGAGGCGAGAAUA